Molecule: ribosomal RNA, 376 nt
Filed under: Cricula trifenestrata
Lineage: Eukaryota; Metazoa; Arthropoda; Insecta; Lepidoptera; Saturniidae
Description: partial 16S ribosomal RNA
Source: RNAcentral
UGCAAAGGUAGCAUAAUCAUUAGUCUCUUAAUUAGUGACUUGUAUGAAAGAUUGGAUGAGAUAUGAACUGUCUUAAUUAUAUUUAUUAGAAAUUAAUUUUUUAAUUAAAAAGUUAAAAUAAUUUAAAAAGACGAGAAGACCCUAUAGAGUUUUAUUUUUAUUAGAAUUUUAAUUAUUUAUAAAAUUUAUUAAUUAUUAAUUUACAUGAAAAUUUUAUUGGGGUGAUAAAAAAAUAAAAAUAACUUUUUUUUUUAUUAGACAUAAAUAACUGAAUUUUUGAUCCAGUUUUAUUGAUUAAAAGAAAAAAUUACCUUAGGGAUAACAGCGUAAUUUUUUUUUUUUAGUCCCUAUAAGAAAAAAAGUUUGCGACCUCGAU